GAUAUGUGGUUUAUACAAAAGAAGGAGCAUUUAUACUAUAAAGUGCUAUAUUGCUGUAUGUUAUAAUAGUUACUAUAUAUGCUCACUUCUGUCUUACCUUUAACAUGCUUCUGAUCCUUUGUAAUGUCCAUUCCUAACUGCCUUGCACACCCAUUAGCUAGUCUUCUUUUUGAGAGGUGGGAAAACUAAAAGAAUAUAUUUUAGGUUCCUACUAGCAUAUUUAAAACUACUCAAUUUACAACAUUCAAAAAAUAUUAGCUGAUUUAUUUCAGGAAGGAUUUAAGGUACUUUAUCUGUGGAACCCACAAGAUUAAAAAGAAAGAAGCGAAGAAGUUACAGUUAAAAAAGAAAACACAGGAGGAUGCAGCUUUGCCCUGUGGACAGCAGUCAGAUGUCAACUAUGGACAGCAGUCACGUGUUAAUGGGCUGGAUACAUUGAUUACCAGCUAUUAAACAUCAUUCAUGGGACGCCUGGAUGGCUCAGUCAGUUGAAUGUCUGCUUCUUGAUUUUGGCUCAGUUCAUCAUGUCACAUUUCAUGAGACUGAGCCCCGGAUCAGGUUCUGUGCUGAGAGUGCAGAGCCGGCUUG
This is a long non-coding RNA of Prionailurus viverrinus (fishing cat), 588 nucleotides long. RefSeq lists it as uncharacterized. NCBI's taxonomy places the organism in Eukaryota, Metazoa, Chordata, Mammalia, Carnivora, Felidae. The transcript is spliced from 3 exons. The record is from RefSeq and is a predicted model, not a curated record.